Molecule: small RNA, 2572 nt
Filed under: Pan troglodytes (chimpanzee)
Lineage: Eukaryota; Metazoa; Chordata; Mammalia; Primates; Hominidae
Description: retained intron
Source: RNAcentral
UUCAUAGCUCUUAGGAACAGAGAAGGCAGCAUAGUAACCAUUCUCUAACCAAUAAUUUCCUGUAUGGAAACUUCCAGUUUUUGCAUGUUUACUUCUGUAGACUUUUUGGCAACUACAGGAAUUUUGAUUCCUGUCUACCCAUAUGGCAGGCCAUUCCUCUUGGGGCUGAUUAGGAAAAGCAGGAACUAUGAGUGAAGUAUAGACCAGAAGAGGAGGCAGAUGUCCAAGUCAGUGUAGAGGUGUUGGCAGGGGAACCUUGGGAGCAGAGAGGGCUGACAGCUCCUUCACUUGGGCACGGAGCUGGGAUUCAGCAAAGAGGGACCCAUGGUUUAUCCUGGGCAUAGGCAGGCUGAUGAAAUGUGUGCCUAGGAAGGAGGAUAAAUAAAGGAUCUGCAGAAGCUGUUCUGUGUCCACCAUUGGAGGCACUCUGCAUAUUUGAGAUGAGAGUGGGACGCAGAGAGUAAGGUCAGCAGUUUGAGGGAUUUAAUAAAAAACAGAUACUGACAGUCUGAAUGGAGGACCAGCCAGAAAAGAAUGCCUCCUAUCUUAUUUAUGUCUGAGUAUGGCAAAUGUAUAAGCAUCUCCUGGCAAAUGUGGGGAAAGGAGAUUCUGCUAAGUUUUGAGCUGGGAAGAAAUAGUAAAUGGGAGUUAAUGGUAUAGGAGGUCUUUAUUAGUAAUUAAGACAUAUAAAGCAUCACUGACAUGCUCUGUAUUUAAUUAUUUGUUUUAAUGACUUCUAAAAUCCUUUUAUAGUGGCUUUUAUAAGUUCAGUUCUGACCUUAGUCUCUAGUCACUUUUUUCCCAUAAAGUUUGAAGUUCAAUAGCAAAUGUUUCUAAUUUGAAGUUUCAGAAGGCCUUCAGUUAGUGAUUAGGAAAGGACUAUAUAUUAGCUGUCAAAAAAAGUUGUCAAGAUAACCCAUGUUGCGAGGAUUCAGAUACAACUGUAAGAGCCCCAUUUAUUUUUUGAGUGCUUUCCAACUGGAAUCAGUGAUGGGCAUUUAUCUACAUGAUCUAAUUUCAUUUUCACUAUAAUUCCAGGAAUGGGCAUUCUUAACUUCAUUUCACAGAUGAGGCAACUGAGGCUUAAAAAGUUUAAAUGGCUGGGUGCGAUGACUCACGCCUGUAAUUCCAGCACUUUGGGAGGCCGAGGCAGGCGGAUCACCUGAGGUCAGGAGUUCGAGACUAGCCUGGCCAACCUGGUGAAACCCUGUCUACUAAAAAUACAAAAAAGUUAGCCGGGCAUGGUGGCAGGCACCUGUAAUCCCAGCUACUUGGGAGGCUGAGGCAGGAGAAUCACUUGAACCUGGGAGGCGGAGGUUGCAGUGAGCGAGAUUGUGCCAUUGCACUCCGGCCUGGGCAACAGAGUGAGACUCAGUCUCCAAAAAAAAAAAAAAAAGUUUAAAUGAUUUUAUCAGGAUCACAGAGCCCAUAGUGGUAGCGGGGCCAGGGUUUGAAGUCAGGACAGUCAUGCUUAAAGCAUUUCUCUUUAACCAGCCAGGGCUCUUGGAGAGGGUGGGCUUUGAAGAUGAUGCCUCCUCAUGCCAGACUACCCUGAGGUGGAUGCCUCCUGCAGCCCUGCCCAGGUGUGACGAGGGCCAGUGGGGGGAAGAGGAUGGCCAUAGGUGCUGACCCCUUGGCUUUGGGGGCAGGAGCGGGAGAUGGAGCUGCGGCGGCAGGCCCUGGAGGAGGAGCGGCGGAGGCGUGAGCAGGUAGAACGGAGGCUGCAGAGUGAGAGUGCCCGGAGGCAGCAGCUGGUCGAGAAGGAGGUCAAGAUGCGGGAGAAACAAUUUUCCCAGGCACGACCCCUGACCCGCUACCUGCCAAUCCGGAAGGAGGACUUUGACCUGAAGACACAUAUUGAGUCAUCGGGCCAUGGUGUUGAUACCUGCCUGCACGUGGUGCUCAGCAGCAAGGUCUGCCGUGGCUACUUGGUCAAGAUGGGCGGCAAGAUUAAAUCAUGGAAGAAGCGCUGGUUUGUCUUCGACCGGCUCAAGCGCACCCUUUCCUAUUAUGUGGACAAGCAUGAGACGAAGCUGAAGGGAGUCAUCUAUUUCCAGGCCAUUGAGGAAGUGUACUACGACCACCUGCGCAGUGCAGCCAAGAGCCCGAACCCAGCCCUCACCUUCUGCGUAAAGACCCAUGACCGACUGUACUACAUGGUGGCCCCAUCUGCAGAGGCCAUGCGUAUCUGGAUGGAUGUCAUUGUCACAGGGGCUGAGGGCUACACUCAGUUCAUGAACUAACUGCCAUGGGCCUCCUGGCAGAGCACAACUGGGGCUUUUGUAUAAGAAGACUUUAAUAUUCUGUAAGGAGCUUGGUCCUGUGAGUUUCUGGGCUCUGGCCUCCUGAAGAACCAGCCAGAAGAAGAAAAGUAGAGGUGGCUUUGCUGCCUCCUGGGAACCCAGAACUUGCAGUAACCCUUUAGGGUCCUGCCCCAGGCCCAGCCAGGGCUGAGGAGCUGUCACAGAGAGGGCCUCAGCUCCGACCUGACACCUGCUCUCCCCAGCCUGUUUUCUCUUUUCUAAAAGACAAAUUAUGGUACCAUAAGCUGCCAAAGAUCCCCUCCUGCCUC